UCCGUUGUUUCGUUGACUGGGACGGACACCAGAGGCCACGAUUUCUUCCGGUUGUCAGCUGAUUGCAUGGUCGGUCGUGCAUGAAAUUAACUAGCGAACGCCAAUCUGAGGCUGAAAAGUCAACCGAGACCGGAUCCGCUCGCUACCUCUUGAUCCAAGGUGCCAAAUGUCAACUGUCCCAGAUCAUCUUGGAUCGGUAUUUUAUCUUCUUCUAUCCCAGCUCAGUCGUCCUUCUCUCAAGAAUAAUAUUGUAAUCCGAGUACAGAAAUGGAAAAUGUUAAUGAAGCCUCUCUCCUUUGAAUUCUGCUCCUCCAUCGGUGGAUCUGGUCAUCAAGUGGUCAACCAAGCCAGAGCCGUUUCUGUGCCACACUAAAAUAACACGAUGGUCAACGUUACCGAAACAAUAUCCUUCAAACCUCGCCGUUCCGCCACAGAAAAAGUCAACAUAGCAUGUUAUGGUACGCAAGUCUAACAUACGGCCGCUAUAGAUUUCAAUCUAGAUGUGCGUUGUAGUUGGCAUCGGUCUUUCGUACGCGGACUCUGCGGAGAACUCCGCCCGGCUCGUACGCAAAAGUGGACGAACCUGGCACCUGGG
Molecule: long non-coding RNA, 595 nt
Filed under: Musa acuminata (dwarf banana)
Lineage: Eukaryota; Viridiplantae; Streptophyta; Magnoliopsida; Zingiberales; Musaceae
Description: long non-coding RNA (MACU_LNC003169)
Source: RNAcentral